Molecule: long non-coding RNA, 1583 nt
Organism: Homo sapiens (human)
Lineage: Eukaryota; Metazoa; Chordata; Mammalia; Primates; Hominidae
Source: Ensembl
AGUGUUGGUGGAAGAAGAGAACUUAAGGCCAGAAGUUGUGUGUGUGUGUGUGUGAAUUAAGAAAAAGAAGAGAAGUACAGGAGAUAUCAUUAAAUUAUAUAGUUCUCUCUUCGACUGUAGCCUUAUAACAGGGACAUUAAUAGAAUUAACAGUCGCGACUCAGGGAUAAGCCUGAGACACAUGGAGAGAACAUCCUGAUCAAUCUGGUCUUUGCUGCUACCCUGGUCAACAGCCUGAGCUGGAUACCUGGCUGACAAGUACCACCUUUUUCCUACACAGAUGACAACCCAGCCCAUGAGCACCAGGAAAAUUAAACAAAAAGCCGAAAGAAAAAAGAAAAGAAGAAGUCUGGGAGUGAAGUUAUAUGCUUAAAGGCAUGCAUCUAGCAAAUGGCAAAAAAAAUGGAUGAAGACACAAGACUGAUUGUCACUAAAAACCAUGUGGUAUGUUUGAGCAAGAUGCCACUGCUACUCCUUCACUUGCUCAUUCUGCAAAAGUUUGUAGAUCUUCUGCAAGGAGAACGGCAUUGUUAACUACCUACAGGAAGUGGUCCAUCUUGGGCUAGUGGCAAAUGGAAAGGCUCUGUUUAUGAUAGUCGCUCAAGGACCCAGAAAAACAAGCAUCCAUCACUGGAAUGUCAUCAGUUAUUGACUCAAAAAAGACCUUUGACCCAACUCAACCUGACAGUAGUCAUAAAUAUCUCCUAAUGUGUUUACUGGCUUCAUUGGUUAUAUUUAUUUUUUCUUCUGUGAAAUGCCUACUUAUGCUUCUUGCCCUUUUUCUAUUAGAUUUGCCCACUUUUAAUAAUGAGUAGAAAUUAUUUAUAUGUUCUUGAGUUUAAUACUUUAUUAGUUACAUAUACUGCAAAUAUCUCUUAACUGUUUCUCCAUUCUUUUCAUUUGGUUCAAGAUAUGUGUUGAAAAAAGGAAAAGUUUUUAGUUUUAUUAGAACUCAAAUGAUCAUCCUUUUCUUACAUAGCUAGUGCUUUUUGUAACUUGUUUAUGAAAAGACUGCCCAGCCCAUAUUCUAAGAGAUAAUCAUCUAUAGUUUUUCCAAACAUUUUACUAUGUAGAUUUUGAAAUUUAAGCCCUUUAUUUGUCUCAAUUUGAUAUUUGUAUAUAAAGUGACAGAGAGGUCCAAUAUUUUUAUUUUAUACAAGAAUAAUUAUUUUAUUAAGUUCCAUUUUGGGAAUAAUUCCUUUUCUCUCCACUGAUCUGAUAUGCCACACAUACAUUGGUGUUUCACAUAUGUGUAAAUCUGUUUUAAAACUGUCCAUUGUGUUACUGGUCAAUUUGCCUUUCUAUUUCCAAAUAUUGUUUUAAAUAAUAUAAGAAGUCUUGAUAUCGAGAAGAAUAAAUUUUUCCUUAACUUUUUCUUGGCUUUUUAAAAUUCCCAUGGAGUCUUCAAAAACUUUUGUUAGAAUAUUUCCAAGAUGUAUGUUUUAAUACCCUCCAAUCAUAUAUAUAUAUAGUUUAUUUUCUAUGUUUGUAAGUAGUAUUAUGGGAAGACAAGUACAUCUUAAAAUUAUUCUUAGUGUUUAUCUACCUUGCUAAAUGCUUUUCAUAAUUAAAUUGAUUUAUUUG